UUAAGUUCGGCGGGUAUUCCUACCUGAUCCGAGGUCAACCUUGUUAAGUGGUGUGUUUUACGGCAAGCACCCGCGCCACGCCCAGAGCGAGAUGUUGCUACUGCGCUCGGUGUGACAGCGAGCCCGCCACUGGUUUUAGGGGUCUGCGGCAGCCGCAGGGCCCCAACGCAAGCCCGGGGGCUUGAUGGUUGAAAUGACGC
This 200-nucleotide unclassified non-coding RNA is filed under the name uncultured Podospora. RNAcentral's name for it is "sequence contains ITS2". The record is from RNAcentral. Lineage: Eukaryota; Fungi; Ascomycota; Sordariomycetes; Sordariales; Lasiosphaeriaceae.